AACCUAGCACACCUGCGGUGUGUACCUGCGGAGGGAUCAUUACCGAGUUUACAAACUCCCAACCCUUUGUGAACCUUACCAUAUUGUUGCUUCGGCGGGACCGCCCCGGCGCCUUCGGGCCCGGAACCAGGCGCCCGCCGGAGGCCCCAAACUCUUAUGUCUUUAGUGGUUUUCUCCUCUGAGUGACACAUAAACAAAUAAAUAAAAACUUUUAACAACGGAUCUCAGAUCGGAAGAGCA
This 240-nucleotide unclassified non-coding RNA is filed under the name soil metagenome. RNAcentral's name for it is "partial contains 5.8S ribosomal RNA, internal transcribed spacer 2, and large subunit ribosomal RNA". The record is from RNAcentral.